This 301-nucleotide ribosomal RNA is filed under the name uncultured bacterium. RNAcentral's name for it is "partial 16S ribosomal RNA". It matches the Rfam family "Bacterial small subunit ribosomal RNA", at positions 509 to 807 of the family's 1533-position model. The record is from RNAcentral.
CAGCCGCCGCGGUAAUGCGUAGGUGGCAAGCGUUGUCCGGAAUUAUUGGGCGUAAAGGGCUCGCAGGCGGUUUCUUAAGUCUGAUGUGAAAGCCCCCGGCUCAACCGGGGAGGGUCAUUGGAAGCUGGGAAACUUGAGUGCAGAAGAGGAGAGUGGAAUUCCACGUGUAGCGGUGAAAUGCGUAGAGAUGUGGAGGAACACCAGUGGCGAAGGCGACUCUCUGGUCUGUAACUGACGCUGAGGAGCGAAAGCGUGGGGAGCGAACAGGGUUAGAUACCCCCGUAGUCCCUGUCUCUUAUAC